This 72-nucleotide transfer RNA is filed under the name Puccinia sorghi. It matches the Rfam family "tRNA". From Rfam's summary of the family: Transfer RNA (tRNA) molecules are approximately 80 nucleotides in length. Their secondary structure includes four short double-helical elements and three loops (D, anti-codon, and T loops). Lineage: Eukaryota; Fungi; Basidiomycota; Pucciniomycetes; Pucciniales; Pucciniaceae. The record is from Rfam by way of RNAcentral.
GUGUACUUAGCUCAAUGCUUAGAACAUCACUCAUGAAGGCUGAGGUUGUAGGUUCAAGUCCCACAGUACACA